CUCCCUUGAGCCUGACCUCCUUCACUUGCCCUGCCAUGCCACAGCAGCGCCAACUCUGCAAUUCUCAAAACAAAUCUUGUUACUUAUGAUGUCCCUGCCCCCAGUGCCUUUGCACCGCUCACUCUGUCUGGGGUAUUCUUCCAAAGCACUGUCCCGAGAGAUCAUCUCACAGACUGCAGCGUCUUUGAAACACUAUCUUCAACCCAGCUCGCCUUGCGCGUCCCCCUUCCUGUGCUGGACACUGGGAUGCCUGCCCUGACUGCUACUGGCCUUGUCCUCACCCAGGAAGAGGAAGGAGAAUGGAACACAGAACAGGAAAGGUGCGGGCAUCCUGCAAGGAACCGAAGGAGCUGGUGAGCAGCAGAGAGCCAGAGUUCAAACUCAACUCAAGCAGUCGAGGUUGGAAGCCAUCGCUUCUGUACCCCCGACCCCAGGGUCUUCUCGGCGGGCCGUCCCCGGCCUGAGCAGCCAGGUGUCCUCUCGCUCCUCCCUUCCCCGCCCCCACAGCAUCGCUUUAUUCUCCCCAGGGCGGUUGGAAAUGCUACGUGCUUUGUGCUCCUACCUUCGUCUGCUCUCUGAAGCUGGAACGUCAGCUCCGCGGGCACAGUGCCCCUUCCCUCAGGUCCGUCUGGCCCCUUGGUGCCAGGCUCUGCCUUGCUUCCCUGCAUCUAAAUUCGUGAUGGAGGCUCAGGAAACACUUUGCUCGACUGAAAGAACUUGAAAACGGAGAAUACGGAAAUUAGGCUCUAAAGAGACUAAGACAAGAAUUCAGUGGAGGGGUAAGGACACCUUGCAAGCUCAUAUUCAGCGGCUUCAGAAACCAAAGCAAAGAGCUUGCAAGCAGUUUGAUAUUAGAACAACAGAUAAAACC
This 871-nucleotide long non-coding RNA is filed under the name Fukomys damarensis (Damara mole-rat). RNAcentral describes it as "lncRNA (ENSFDAG00000032198.1)". Lineage: Eukaryota; Metazoa; Chordata; Mammalia; Rodentia; Bathyergidae. The record is from RNAcentral.